GUCUUCAAGCUGGAUUUCGCUAAGGCGUUCGACUCCAUCGCCUGGUCGAGCCUUCGACGGAUCAUGGAGGUCCGGGGGUUCCCGGCUCUUUGGUGCGAUUGGAUGGACAUCAUCCUCCAUUCCUCCAAGGCCGCGGUCCUCCUCAACGGUGUGCCGGGACACUGGUUCGCAAUUCUGAAAGGGCUGCGCCAGGGAGACCCCAUCUCUCCGUACCUGUUCCUCCUGGUCGCGGACGUUCUUCAACGCAUGAUCAAGGGCGACGGGGCUCUCGGUCACCCCCUGGUGGCGGGGGCACCGGCGGUGGUCCUCCAGUACACGGACAACAUGCCGAUCAUCAUGCGUACUGGCCACGUGGCUGCGGCGCGGCUCCGGGUCAUCCUUGACCUCUUCGCGGCAGCUACCGGCCUCGUCAUCAACUUCUCCAAAAGCACGCUCGUCCAGAUGAACGUCGAGCACGGGGUUCUCGCCUCUGUCCUGGCGUCCUUUGAGUGCACUGUGGAGGCCUUCCCUCAGUCGUACCUCGGCUUGCCUCUCUCGUCCGACAAGCUCAAGCUCGACGACUUCGCCCCUAUGAUUGCUAAGGUAGACCGUUACCUGGCUGGGUGGCGGGCACGACUACUCUCGCCGGCUGGCCGGUUGGUGCUGAUCAAUGCUGUCAUCGACUCCAUCCCCAUGUACGCCAUGGCGGCCAUGCGUCUUCCGCGUGCGGUCCUGACUCGUCUAGACGUGCUGCGUCGGGCUUUUCUCUAG
This 750-nucleotide ribosomal RNA is filed under the name Triticum aestivum (bread wheat). Its description in RNAcentral is "partial small subunit ribosomal RNA". The record is from RNAcentral. Lineage: Eukaryota; Viridiplantae; Streptophyta; Magnoliopsida; Poales; Poaceae.